GCUCGGUCAAAUAAUGCUGCAGCCAACGGGGCUCGGGCCCAGACUGGCAAUGCUGUGGAAAUACCAAUGGUCAGUCAGGAGGAACAGCUAAUCCUGACUGCAAUCGGAAAAGAUACCUCCGAGGGAGUGGGUCCGGCGGAGUCAAGGAUUGGAGAUUAAUCUUUUGGAGGAGACGGAGAACAUAGAAAACUUGGAGGAUACUGAAAUAAUGGAAGAGGAAGAUGAUUAAUAGUAGUUAAUUAAUGUGACUUCAUUCUUUCACACUUCUUCAUGUAAGGCGUUAUGUUUGUCUACACUCAAGUAUACAAUUGUGUUUUUAGCUACUAAUACGAAAAAAUUAUAUAUUUAUAAUUCUUAAAUAACUCAAUUCUAAUA
This is a long non-coding RNA of Cydia fagiglandana, 375 nucleotides long. RefSeq lists it as uncharacterized. The transcript has 2 exons. NCBI's taxonomy places the organism in Eukaryota, Metazoa, Arthropoda, Insecta, Lepidoptera, Tortricidae. The record is from RefSeq and is a predicted model, not a curated record.